This is a long non-coding RNA of Hypanus sabinus (Atlantic stingray), 2135 nucleotides long. RefSeq lists it as uncharacterized. The record is from RefSeq and is a predicted model, not a curated record. Lineage: Eukaryota; Metazoa; Chordata; Chondrichthyes; Myliobatiformes; Dasyatidae. The transcript is spliced from 3 exons.
CGUAGAACGAGCUGCCAGUGGAGGUGACAUGUUCCUCUCAAAUCAUGUUGACUUUCUCUCAUUUUGAACAAUCUUUGGAUACUUUGAGGAGCAGUGCCUCAGAAAGGUGGUAUCCAUCAUUAAGGACCUCCACCCAGACACGCCCUCUUCUCAUUGCUACCAUCAGCAAGGAGGUACAGAAGCCUGAAGGCAUGCACCCAGGGAUCCAGGAACAGCUCUUCCCCUCUGCUAUCUGAUUUCUGAAUGGACAUUGAACCUAUGAACACUACCUCAAUAUUUUAUUAUUCCACAUGUUUUGCAUUUAUUUAAUUUAACUAUUUAAUAUAUAUACUUACUGUAAUUCACAGUUUACUUUUUUCUCUCUAUUAUCAUGUAUUGUAUUGUACUGCUGCCGCAAAGUUAAUAAAUUUCAGACAUAUGCCGGUGAUAUUAAACCUGAUUCUGAUUCUACGACCUGCAGACUCACUUGCAAGGACUUUUAUAAACUAUCUUCUCAGUAUUAUUUUUUAUUUGCACAUCUUGCCUUCUUUUGCGCAUUGGAUGUUUGUCAGUCUUUGUCUGGUUAUAUAUAGUUGUUCAUGACUUCCAUCGUAUGACAUUGUUUUCCUGUAAAUGCCUGCAAAAAAUGAACCUCAAGGUAGCAAAUGGUAAUGUACAUGUACUUUGCUAAAAAAAUUACUUUGAAAUAUGGAGAACAUCCAGAGACAUUAUGAAAGUGGAUCGAAAUCUAUGAAAAUACUGGCGUGGAAACUGAAAAAAAAGAUAGCAGAAAAUACUAUUCAUAGAAUUAGAGUCCCAAGAACGAAAAUGUUAAAAAAAUAAGCUAAGUGAAAUUCAAGAAGCUUUUGAAGUGUUUUACAAAACACUAUAUUCCAAAGUUCCAGGGGGAAGCAUAACCCAAAUUGACACCUUCUUGAAUUCUCUAGAGUUACCCACUUUAAGCGAAGAACAAAAUAGAAUGUUGACUGCUGACAUAACUGAAGUUGAAUUAAAAGCUGCAAUAGUAGGCUUAAGUUAAGCAAGUCACCAGGAUCAGAUGGGUAUACGGCAGAGUGGUACAAAGAAUUUAAAAAUGAGUUAAUUCCUGUUUUACUCCCCACACUGAACUGGGCUCUAAAAAAGGCACAAAUGCCACCCAGUUGGAAGGAAGUGAUAAUCUCAGCAAUACUGAAAGAAGGCAAGGAUAAAAUGGAAUGCAGGUCAUUUAGACCAAUAUCUGUUCUUAAUGUAGAUUAUAGGUUAUUUACCUCCAUCAUGGCCAAACGAUUAGAGGAGUUUCUACCCAUACUGAUACGUAAUGAUCAGACAGGUUUUAUACGACAACGCCAGACUCAAGACAAUAUACGAAGGACACUUCACAUUAUGGAUCAUAUAUAAAAAAAUAAAAUCGAAGCAAUAGUGAUAAGCGUGAACGCUGAAAAAGCAUUUGAUUCGGUUAAUUGGAAUUUUCUUUACAGAGUUUUACAUAGAUUUGGUUUCCAAGACACAAUUAUUAAAACUAUACAGACACUAUAUGACAAUCCUAUUGCUAAGAUUAAAAUCAAUAGAUAUUUAUCAAAUAGUCUUACUGAAGAAAGGGGCAGGAGACAGGGUUGUGCAUGGUCACCACUAUUUUUCGCGUUAUAUCUGGAACCUUUAGCUCAAUACAUCAGACAAAAUGAAGAUAUCGGGGAAUUACUAUUAAAGGGACAGAGCAUUUUUGGGGCUGCCCUGUUAUCAAAAACUAUUGGAGGGGGAUACACAAUGCCCUACAAGACAUCUUUAAAUGUGAAAUACCCUUGGAGAGUAGGACCAUAUAUUUUGGAUAUAUACCUCAAGGAUGGUUGAAAAGAGAUAAAUAUUUAAUGAAUAUACUGUUGGUGGCUGGUAAAAAGACUCGUACUAGGAAAUGGUUAUCACAGGAGAGCCCAACUUUAAAUACAUGGAUGGAAAUUACAAUGGACUUUUACAAAAUGGAGAAGAUAACAGCAUUUGUUAAUCAUAAGCUGGAACAAUUUGAUUCACACUGGGAAAAGUGGUUUAACUACAUAAUGCCUCAUAGGCCUGAUUUUAUUCUCACAAAUCAAUGAAUCUGUUGUAAAAAAAAGAUCACUCCCUACUUAUACAUAGUUCUUUCCUUUUGCUUGUUUUUUUCU